UGUAAAUAGCUUGUUAAAAAUGAUAUAGGUAAAAGGAGGAAAGAAAAAUAAUUUUAAAGAAAAAUUGUGUUAGUAAUUUUUAAUGAAAGUAGGAUAAAGACUAGAGAGAAAAGUACUGUGAAGGAAAGCGAUAAGACUUAGUAUAGGAAAAGUAAACUUUUGUGCCUUGUGUAUCAGAAAAAAUUUAUAUAAUUUAAUCAGUCUAAAGGUCUCGAAAUAAAAUAUAGUAAUUUUUAUAAAAUUUUCUUUUUAGAAAAAAAGAAUUUAAUGUAAAAUUUAAAGUGAAACGCUAGUUGAGUUUUAUUAUAUCUAGUUUUUUUAAAAAUAAAUUGAAUUUAUUUUUUAUAGCUAUAAGAUAUAAAAUUUAAUGGCAAGAGGGAACAGCUUCUUGUGUAAAAUGUUGUAAAAUAGUUAAGUAAUAGGAUAUUUUAUAGAUUAGGCUUAAAAGUAGCCAUAUUUAAAAAGUGUUUUAACUAAAUUAUGGUUUAAAAAUAUUUAGGGUAACUUUUUCAAUGUAUAAAAAAAUUAUUUGAAAUGUAAAAGAAUAAAAUAUAAUGAUUUUAUUAGUAAAAUUUGCUAUGAAAAUGAGUGU
Molecule: ribosomal RNA, 592 nt
Filed under: Macrophthalmus aff. japonicus
Lineage: Eukaryota; Metazoa; Arthropoda; Malacostraca; Decapoda; Macrophthalmidae
Description: partial 16S ribosomal RNA
Source: RNAcentral